AGUGAACGCUGGCGGUAGGCCUAACACAUGCAAGUCGAACGGCAGCACAGUAAGAGCUUGCUCUUACGGGUGGCGAGUGGCGGACGGGUGAGGAAUACAUCGGAAUCUACUUUUUCUUGGGGGAUAACGUAGGGAAACUUACGCUAAUACCUCAUACGACCUACGGGUUAAAUCAGUAGUUCUUCGGACCUUGCGCGAUUCAAUGAGCCGAUGCCGGAUUAGCUAGUUGGCGUGGUAAAGGCCCACCAAGGCAACGAUCCGUAGCUGGUCUGAGAGGAUGAUCAGCCACACUGGAACUGAGACACGGUCCAGACUCCUACGGGAGGCAGCAGUGGGGAAUAUUGGGCAAUGGGCGAAAGCCUGAUCCAGCAAUGCCGCGUGAGUGAAGAAGGCCUUCGGAUUGUAAAGCCCUUUUGUUAGGGAAGAAAAAAAGCGGAUUAAUACCUCGCUGUUCUGACGGUACCCAAAGAGUAAGCACCGGCUAACUUCGUG
Molecule: ribosomal RNA, 492 nt
Filed under: uncultured bacterium
Lineage: Bacteria
Description: partial 16S ribosomal RNA
Rfam family: Bacterial small subunit ribosomal RNA
Source: RNAcentral